UACAUACUCCCUCCGUCCGAAAAUACUUGUCAUUAAAAUGGACAAAAAGGAAUGUAUCUAAAACUAAAAUCCAUCUAAAUACAUCUCCUUUUAUUGAUUUUGGUGACAAGUAUUUCCGGACGAAGGGAGUAGAAA
Molecule: non-coding RNA, 135 nt
Organism: Triticum aestivum (bread wheat)
Lineage: Eukaryota; Viridiplantae; Streptophyta; Magnoliopsida; Poales; Poaceae
Source: Rfam